UUGGGGUUUACGGAGAUGAUGUUUGUGGA
RNAcentral lists this non-coding RNA (29 nucleotides) under Homo sapiens (human). Lineage: Eukaryota; Metazoa; Chordata; Mammalia; Primates; Hominidae. The record is from RNAcentral.